RNAcentral lists this ribosomal RNA (450 nucleotides) under uncultured bacterium. Its description in RNAcentral is "partial 16S ribosomal RNA". It matches the Rfam family "Bacterial small subunit ribosomal RNA", at positions 354 to 796 of the family's 1533-position model. The record is from RNAcentral.
GUGGGGAAUAUUGGACAAUGGGCGAAAGCCUGAUCCAGCCAUGCCGCGUGUGUGAAGAAGGUCUUCGGAUUGUAAAGCACUUUAAGUUGGGAGGAAGGGCAGUAAGUUAAUACCUUGCUGUUUUGACGUUACCGACAGAAUAAGCACCGGCUAACUUCGUGCCAGCAGCCGCGGUAAUACGAAGGGUGCAAGCGUUAAUCGGAAUUACUGUGCGUAAAGCGCGCGUAGGUGGUUUUGUAAGUUGGAGGUGAAAUCCCCGGGCUCAACCUGGGAACUGCCUCCAAAACUGAAUGACUAGAGUACGGUAGAGGGUAGUGGAAUUUCCUGUGUAGCGGUGAAAUGCGUAGAUAUAGGAAGGAACACCAGUGGCGAAGGCGACUACCUGGACUGAUACUGACACUGAGGUGCGAAAGCGUGGGGAGCAAACAGGAUUAGAAACCCGGGUAGUCC